UUGUCUUUUAAUUAAGGACUGGAAUGAAAGGUUUGACUAUGUAUUUCUGUCUUAUAAUAAUAUUUUGAAAUUUAUAUUUUAGUAAAAAAGCUAAAAUUAUCUAUAGGGACGAGAAGACCCUAUCAAGUUUUACAAUCCAGAAUUUAUUUUCAAAUUAAAUUUUAAAUUGUUUUGCUGGGGCAGCAGAUAAAAAUUUUUUAUUUUAAAAUUAUGAUAAAUAAAUCUUGAAAAAUCAAAAAAUUUUUAAUUAAAAAUAAAUUACUGUAGGGAUAACAGCAUAAUUUUUUUAGAGAGUUCUUAUCAUCAAAAAAGUUUGUGACCUCGAUGUUGGAUUAAAAUUCCUGAUUCGUGCAAUAAUGAAAUAA
RNAcentral lists this ribosomal RNA (365 nucleotides) under Paravaejovis confusus. Its description in RNAcentral is "partial 16S ribosomal RNA". Lineage: Eukaryota; Metazoa; Arthropoda; Arachnida; Scorpiones; Vaejovidae. The record is from RNAcentral.